GUGCUUGUGGGAGCAUGGUUUGUGAUGAUGAGAAAAGAAAUUUUCCAUUUGGGAAUCUAAUACUAUCAACUACAUUUUUGGUUUUUGUUUUAUCCUGGGAUAAUGUAGUGUGUGGAUGAACACAAUGUAAUCUUUACUGGCCUCUUUCUUAUAGUUCAGACUCCAUGUUUGAACAGCUUUGGUGUUUUUAGUUUUUAUUCAUUUCUUUUUUUAAAAAAAUGAAUUAUGGGUGAUUCAGGGUUUAAUGUUGUAUCCUAAUUGUGAAAUCUGUGCUUUUGGACCUGAGCAGAUACCUUUGAAACCAUUACCUCAUCUGUUACUAGGAAGAAUGAGCUAGCAUUUACAUUCCUCCCCCCUGGCAAGUCUGAAAAGAAAUACUUUCCCCCCUUUUUGGAAUGAAGAGACUAUCUAUAAUUUUAUUUGUACCUUUAUCCACAAUACACUGUUUUUUCCAUUUGAUCCUCUUAUCAACCUUGUAGGAUCAUUAUUAUUAUUCUUACUUUGCAGUUGAGGAAACAGACUUGUUGGCAAGUGACAUAGCCAAGACUUGAAAGUUUUUUAAAAUUCAAAGCCCACAUUCAUUAUCAUAGCUACUUUAUAUCUUU
This 605-nucleotide long non-coding RNA is filed under the name Homo sapiens (human). Its description in RNAcentral is "HSALNT0028790". The record is from RNAcentral. Lineage: Eukaryota; Metazoa; Chordata; Mammalia; Primates; Hominidae.